RNAcentral lists this ribosomal RNA (759 nucleotides) under uncultured Porphyromonas sp. RNAcentral's name for it is "bacterial SSU rRNA". It matches the Rfam family "Bacterial small subunit ribosomal RNA", at positions 28 to 776 of the family's 1533-position model. The record is from RNAcentral. Lineage: Bacteria; Pseudomonadati; Bacteroidota; Bacteroidia; Bacteroidales; Porphyromonadaceae.
GAUGAACGCUAGCGAUAGGCUUAACACAUGCAAGUCGAGGGGCAGCAUGAUCUUAGCUUGCUAAGGUCGAUGGCGACCGGCGCACGGGUGCGUAACGCGUAUGCAACUUGCCUUACAGAGGGGGAUAACCCGUUGAAAGGCGGACUAAAACCGCAUACACUUGUAUUAUUGCAUGAUAUUACAAGGAAAUAUUUAUAGCUGUAAGAUAGGCAUGCGUCCCAUUAGCUGGUUGGUGAGGUAACGGCUCACCAAGGCGACGAUGGGUAGGGGAACUGAGAGGUUUAUCCCCCACACUGGUACUGAGACACGGACCAGACUCCUACGGGAGGCAGCAGUGAGGAAUAUUGGUCAAUGGGCGAGAGCCUGAACCAGCCAAGUCGCGUGAAGGAAGACAGUCCUAAGGAUUGUAAACUUCUUUUAUACGGGAAUAACGGGCGAUACGAGUAUUGCAUUGAAUGUACCGUAAGAAUAAGCAUCGGCUAACUCCGUGCCAGCAGCCGCGGUAAUACGGAGGAUGCGAGCGUUAUCCGGAUUUAUUGGGUUUAAAGGGUGCGUAGGUUGUUCGGUAAGUCAGCGGUGAAACCUGAGCGCUCAACGUUCAGCCUGCCGUUGAAACUGCCGGGCUUGAGUUCAGUGGCGGCAGGCGGAAUUCGUGGUGUAGCGGUGAAAUGCAUAGAUAUCACGAGGAACUCCGAUUGCGAAGGCAGCUUGCCAUACUGCGACUGACACUGAAGCACGAAGGCGUGGGUAUCAAACAGG